Molecule: ribosomal RNA, 903 nt
Filed under: uncultured Bacillota bacterium
Lineage: Bacteria; Bacillati; Bacillota
Description: bacterial SSU rRNA
Rfam family: Bacterial small subunit ribosomal RNA
Source: RNAcentral
UGGAUCCAGACUUUGAUCCUGGCUCAGGACGAACGCUGGCGGCGCGCCUAACACAUGCAAGUCGAACGAGCGAGAGAGAGCUUGCUUUCUCGAGCGAGUGGCGAACGGGUGAGUAACGCGUGAGGAACCUGCCUCAAAGAGGGGGACAACAGUUGGAAACGACUGCUAAUACCGCAUAAGCCCACGGGUCGGCAUCGACCAGAGGGAAAAGGAGCAAUCCGCUUUGAGAUGGCCUCGCGUCCGAUUAGCUAGUUGGUGAGGUAACGGCCCACCAAGGCAACGAUCGGUAGCCGGACUGAGAGGUUGAACGGCCACAUUGGGACUGAGACACGGCCCAGACUCCUACGGGAGGCAGCAGUGGGGAAUAUUGCACAAUGGGGGAAACCCUGAUGCAGCGACGCCGCGUGGAGGAAGAAGGUCUUCGGAUUGUAAACUCCUGUUGUUGAGGAAGAUAAUGACGGUACUCAACAAGGAAGUGACGGCUAACUACGUGCCGGCAGCCGCGGUAAAACGUAGGUCACAAGCGUUGUCCGGAAUUACUGGGUGUAAAGGGAGCGCAGGAGGGAAGACAAGUUGGAAGUGAAAUCUAUGGGCUCAACCCAUAAACUGCUUUCAAAACUGUUUUUCUUGAGUAGUGCAGAGGUAGGCGGAAUUCCCGGUGUAGCGGUGGAAUGCGUAGAUAUCGGGAGGAACACCAGUGGCGAAGGCGGCCUACUGGGCACCAACUGACGCUGAGGCUCGAAAGUGUGGGUAGCAAACAGGAUUAGAUACCCUGGUAGUCCACACCGUAAACGAUGAUUACUAGGUGUUGGAGGAUUGACCCCUUCAGUGCCGCAGUUAACACAAUAAGUAAUCCACCUGGGGAGUACGACCGCAAGGUUGCAACUCAAAGGAAUUGACGGA